CCAAUAGCGUAUAUUAAAGUUGUUGCAGUUAAAAAGCUCGUAGUUGAAUUUCGAGAUCAAUAUGUUGGUCGUGCCUCGGUAUGUACUUGCAUCAUUGAUUUCUCCCUUCUGAUGAACCAUGAUGCCAUUAAUUUGGUGUUGUGGGGAAUCAGGACUGUUACUUUGAAAAAAUUAGAGUGUUUAAAGCAGGCUCACGCUUGAAUACAUUAGCAUGGAAUAAUGAAAUAGGACGUUUGAUUCUAUUUUGUUGGUUUCUAGGAUCGACGUAAUGAUUAAUAGGGAUAGUUGGGGGCAUUAGUAUUCAAUUGUCAGAGGUGAAAUUCUUGGAUUUAUUGAAGACUAACUACUGCGAAAGCAUUUGCCAAGGAUGUUUUCAUUAAUCAAGAACGAAAGUUAGGGGAUCGAAGACGAUCAGAUACCGUCGUAGUCUUAACCAUAAACUAUGCCGACUAGGGAUCGGAUGAUGUUAAUUUUUUAAUGACUCAUUCGGCGCCUUACG
RNAcentral lists this ribosomal RNA (499 nucleotides) under uncultured Glomeromycotina. RNAcentral describes it as "partial small subunit ribosomal RNA". It matches the Rfam family "Eukaryotic small subunit ribosomal RNA", at positions 591 to 1092 of the family's 1831-position model. Lineage: Eukaryota; Fungi; Glomeromycota. The record is from RNAcentral.